Molecule: ribosomal RNA, 326 nt
Filed under: uncultured eukaryote
Lineage: Eukaryota
Description: partial 18S ribosomal RNA
Rfam family: Eukaryotic small subunit ribosomal RNA
Source: RNAcentral
CCCUUAGAUGUUCUGGGCCGCACGCGCGCUACACUGAUGCAAUCAACAAGCCUAGCCUUGACCGAGAGGUCCGGGUAAUCUUUGAAACUGCAUCGUGAUGGGGCUAGAUUAUUGCAAUUAUUAAUCUUCAACGAGGAAUGCCUAGUAAGCGUGAUUCAUCAAAUCGCGUUGAUUACGUCCCUGCCCUUUGUACACACCGCCCGUCGCUCCUACCGAUUGAAUGUGUUGGUGAGGAGCUCGGAUUGGCAGCAGUUGGUGGUUCGCCACCGGCUAUUGCUGAGAAGUCCUCCAAACCGCCCCAUUUAGAGGAAGGAGAAGUCGUAACA